This 406-nucleotide ribosomal RNA is filed under the name uncultured bacterium. RNAcentral's name for it is "partial 16S ribosomal RNA". It matches the Rfam family "Bacterial small subunit ribosomal RNA", at positions 28 to 526 of the family's 1533-position model. The record is from RNAcentral.
GACGAACGCUGGCGGCGUGCCUAAUACAUGCAAGUAGGACGCAGUUGCGAACGGGUGAGUAACGCGUAGGUAACUACCUAUUAGAGGGGGAUAACUACUGGAAACGAUAGCUAAUAACGCAUACUAGUAGAUGGACCUGCGUGGUAUUAGAUAGUAGGUAGGGUAAUGGCCUACCUAGGCAACGAUCCAUAGCCGACCUGAGAGGGUGUUCGGCCACACUGGGACUUAGCCACGGCCCAGACUCCUACGGGAAGCAGCAGUAGGGAAUCUUCCGCAAUGGGCGGAACCCUGACCGAGCAACGCCGCGUGAGUUAAGAAGGUUUUCGGAUCGUAAAGCUCUGUUGUUAAGGAAGCGUUACUUAACGAGAAAGGGACGGCUAACUACGUGCCAGCAGCGCGGUAAUUC